AACUGAUACUACCUGCGGGAACCUGCGGAAGGAUCAUUAUUGAAUGAAAUUGGUUAGAUUGUUGCUGGCUCUUAGGAGCAAGUGCACGUCUACCGCCACUUUCACCACCUGUGCACUUUUUGUAGACUUGAGUUUGAUCGAGGGUCAUAUCUCGGAUUGGGGACGUGCCAUUAUUGUAUGGCUGUCCUUGAAACUCUUGGUCUAUGUUUUUAUAUACCCCUACAAAUGUAACAGAAUGUU
RNAcentral lists this unclassified non-coding RNA (240 nucleotides) under soil metagenome. RNAcentral's name for it is "partial contains 5.8S ribosomal RNA, internal transcribed spacer 2, and large subunit ribosomal RNA". The record is from RNAcentral.